UACGUAGGGUGCAAGCGUUGUCCGGAAUUAUUGGGCGUAAAGGGCGCGUAGGCGGCCACGCGUGUCUUCCGUGAAAUCCCUCGGCUCAACCGAGGACGUGCGGAAGAAACUGCGAGGCUCGAGUCCAGAAGAGGGGGGCGGAAUUCCCAGUGUAGCGGUGAAAUGCGUAGAUAUUGGGAGGAACACCGGUGGCGAAGGCGGCCCCCUGGGCUGGUACUGACGCUGAUGCGCGAAAGCGUGGGUAGCAAACGGG
This 253-nucleotide ribosomal RNA is filed under the name uncultured bacterium. Its description in RNAcentral is "partial 16S ribosomal RNA". It matches the Rfam family "Bacterial small subunit ribosomal RNA", at positions 524 to 776 of the family's 1533-position model. The record is from RNAcentral.